This 459-nucleotide ribosomal RNA is filed under the name uncultured bacterium. Its description in RNAcentral is "partial 16S ribosomal RNA". It matches the Rfam family "Bacterial small subunit ribosomal RNA", at positions 339 to 795 of the family's 1533-position model. The record is from RNAcentral.
CCUCGGGUGGCAGCAGUGAGGAAUAUUGGUCAACGGACGAGAGUCUGAACCAGCCAAGUAGCGUGAAGGAUGACUGCCCUAUGGGUUGUAAACUUCUUUUAUAUGGGAAUAAAAUGUUCCACGUGUGGGAUUUUGUAUGUACCAUAUGAAUAAGGAUCGGCUAACUCCGUGCCAGCAGCCGCGGUAAUACGGAGGAUCCGAGCGUUAUCCGGAUUUAUUGGGUUUAAAGGGGGCGUAGGUGGAUUGUUAAGUCAGUUGUGAAAGUUUGCGGCUCAACCGUAAAAUUGCAGUUGAAACUGGCAGUCUUGAGUACAGUAGAGGUGAGCGGAAUUCGUGGUGUAGCGGUGAAAUGCUUAGAUAUCACGAAGAACUCCGAUUGCGAAGGCAGUUCACUGGACUGCAACUGACACUGAGGCUCGAAAGUGUGGGUAUCAAACAGGAUUAGAUACCCCAGUAGUC